Sinocyclocheilus grahami is the source of this 631-nucleotide long non-coding RNA. RefSeq lists it as uncharacterized. Lineage: Eukaryota; Metazoa; Chordata; Actinopteri; Cypriniformes; Cyprinidae. The record is from RefSeq and is a predicted model, not a curated record. The transcript is spliced from 2 exons.
UAUGGGAUUCCCAUCCAAGUCAUUUGUUAUUUUCUUUUUGUUGUUAGAUUGACGUUCACAUCACUCCUGGCACACAUGCCUCAGAGGAUGCAGUCAAUAAGCAGCUUGCAGACAAAGAGAGAGUGGCAGCAGCUCUGGAGAACUCUCAGCUGCUGGAGGUGGUCAACCAGUGUCUGUCCUCCAGAGCCAUGUGAUCCCAAGAAUCCUGCCGCUGUUGUUGUGUAGUCCUUCGACAGUCAGGAUUGAACACUUACAGACAAGCCAGAGUUGAGUGAUAAUAACAGUGCUAUUAUUUGUGGCUAUUUUUUAUGUAUCUAGUGCUGUGCUCCACAAACAACACCAGACCAGGAGGACUGUUUAGUGCUUAAAAAGUGAGAGAUGCUUCCAGGUAGAGUUUAAAAAUGUGUCAGGAAAAGAAACGGUGGUAAUAGAGAAUUCAUGUGGAACCUAUAUAUAUAUUUUUUUUUUAUUUUAUUUUAUUUUUUCUGUUUGACAGUACGUGGAUACAGAAAUAAAUGUUAUUCUGUCAUAUAUUUAUGAAUAUGUGCAAAAUGACUUUACUUUUAGAAAGUUGUGGACUUUUCAAAUACAUUUUUUUAUUGGUCAAAAUGGAAAAUGUGUGCAACAGAAA